Molecule: long non-coding RNA, 1032 nt
Organism: Cyprinus carpio carpio
Lineage: Eukaryota; Metazoa; Chordata; Actinopteri; Cypriniformes; Cyprinidae
Source: Ensembl
AACAUCCUGCAAAGUUUGAAAUAUGACAGUGCACCGUAUAUAAAGUUAUUGUCUUUCAAAAGUAAGAGUCGACUCUGAGUCAUUUUUAUGAAUCGUUAGAAGACCGAAGCUUUUUCUCUGACUAGAUGACGUCAACUUGUCAAGUUAUUUGAAUACGAUACGCCCACUUAUUGCGCUCCAAGACGCCAGUGAAAACUAGAAAACAUCAUGGCGACGAGACGCUGUGUUCUGAAGUGCGACUCAAAAGCAAACUUUUUUCAUCUGCCCAAGGAUGAGCAUUUGAAGACUAAGUGGCUACAAUUCAUAUAUACAACUGUACCACAGAAGUAUAGUCCGAGCCUUGUGCUUUGUUCACGCCAUUUUGAAGACGAUUGCUUUACCAACUUAUAUGCAAUUUUGAAUGUAGUAAUAAUAAUGCAAAAAAAAUAAAUAAAGUUCAAAUCAACAUUUAAAACAACAAAAAAUAUUAACCUUGACAAAAAGUAGUCUUUGAGAAUGCCUUAAUAUACAUUUACAUCCACAACCUAAUAAAAGUAAACAAUCGUGUAUAAAAACAACUAGGGAUUUCACAAGCCUCUCUACAGAGACCUAAACAGGAAUCUGAACAUGAAAUUACAGGUUUUUCUUUUUUGCUCUCACCAGGAGGUGCUAUUCUGCCUGCAAAAUUGGAUUUUAAAGGCAUAGUCUCUAUUUUAAUCUGAAAUACUGCAUUAACUGAAAAAUAAUUGUAAAAAAUCUGAUUUUACUAUUUUCAAUGGGAAAAAAAAUAUCAUAAUUAGUGCAUAAAUAUUAAUUAGUAUCAUGAAAUUCUCUCAAAAUACAAAAGAAAAAAUAUUAUUGAACAAAAAUAUAUUAGAUUGAUUUUACUGAAGAAAAAAAAAAGUUAAAUUUCAGGUGUCUGGUCACUUUUGACCGUAAAGACCAUGAGUGUGACUCUCAAAUAAGGAGUGCACAAGGGUUAAGACAAUUUUCAGGUGAAUUUUUUUGUUUGUUUGUUUGUUUGUUUUUUUGAUUCAGUCAAUUUUCUGUUCA